This 3066-nucleotide ribosomal RNA is filed under the name Triticum aestivum (bread wheat). RNAcentral describes it as "partial small subunit ribosomal RNA". The record is from RNAcentral. Lineage: Eukaryota; Viridiplantae; Streptophyta; Magnoliopsida; Poales; Poaceae.
AUGGAUCUACUACCGCCGGCGUCGGAGGCGCCGGCCGGUGGCGGCGCAGUUGGGGGCCGAGGGAUGCGACGCGGGGUCGGGUUCCGGUCGCUCAAGCUGGUGAACGUGUCCAUGGAAGAGGCCCUCCCAGCCGAGCCCGUCGGCGUCGCCUACGGCCGCCUCGCCAACGGACUCACCUACUACGUCCGCUCCAAUCCCAAACCCCGCAUGCGCGCAGCCCUCUCCCUCGCCGUCAAGGUCGGGUCGGUGGUGGAGGAGGAGGACGAGCGCGGGGUGGCGCAUAUCGUCGAGCACCUCGCCUUCAGCGCAACGUCACGCUACACCAAUCACGACAUCGUUAGGUUCCUCGAGAGCAUUGGCGCAGAGUUUGGCGCCUGCCAGAACGCUCUCACUUCCUCUGACGAAACCAUCUAUGAGCUGCUCGUGCCUGUGGACAAGCCCGGACUGCUCUCCCAGGCAAUCUCCGUCCUCGCUGAGUUCAGCUCCGAGGUUCGGGUUUCAGCGGAGGAUCUGGAGAAAGAAAGGGGUGCUGUGCUGGAGGAAUACAGGGGCGGGCGCAACGCCACUGGGCGGAUGCAGGACUCCCACUGGACAUUGUUGUUUGAGGGUUCUAAGUAUGCAGAACGUUUGCCGAUAGGUACAGAGAAGGUGAUACGGACUGUUACACAUGAGACAGUUAGAAAUUUUUAUCAUAAGUGGUACAAUCUAAGCAAUAUGGCUGUCUUUGCAGUGGGAGACUUCCCAGAUACACAGGCUGUUGUUGAGUUAAUAAAGGAGCAUUUUGGCCAGAAAGCCUCAAUUUCCUGCCCUCCACCGGUUAUACCGGAGUUUCCAGUUCCAUCGCAUAUUGAACCUCGAUUUUCAUGCUUUGUGGAAUCCGAAGCUGCAGGGUCAGCUGUUGUUAUUAGCUGCAAGAUGCCUGCCGGUGAAAUUAAAACAGUCAAGGAUUAUAGGGACUCAUUGGCAGAAUCAAUUUUCCAUUGUGCUCUGAACCAGAGGCUCUUCAAACUAUCUCGUAGGAGGGAUCCUCCAUACUUCUCUUGCUCUUCAGCUGCAGAUGCUCUUGUCCGUCCGGUGAAGGCAUAUAUUAUGACAUCCAGUUGUCGCGAAAAAGGCACGGUUGAGGCUCUUGAGUCUAUGCUAGUUGAGGUUGCUAGGGCACGGCUCUAUGGGUUUUCUGAACGUGAGAUAUCCAUUGUGCGUGCUUUAAUGAUGUCAGAGAUCGAGUCUGCAUAUCUGGAGCGUGAUCAAAUGCAAUCAACCAGCUUACGUGAUGAGUAUCUGCAGCAUUUUCUUCGCGAGGAGCCUGUUGUCGGGAUUGACUAUGAAGCACGGUUGCAGAAGACUCUUCUUCCAUACAUUUCUUCUGCUGAAGUGGUGAAGUUUGCGGAAAACUUUUCAACAACCAGUAGCUGUGUUAUCAAGAUAGUUGAGCCCCGGGCCCAUGCUUCUUUGGAGGAUCUGAAAGCUGUUGUAUUGAAAGUUAACACUCUAGAAGAAAAGAGGAGUAUUCCUCCCUGGGAGGAAGAGCAAAUCCCUGAAGAAAUUGUUAGCCAAAGUCCAGUGCCAGGAAUUAUUGUUGAUAAAGUGGAGCACCCAGGCAUAGGUGCCACUGAGAUGAUACUAUCUAAUGGGAUGCGAGUUUGCUACAAGUGUACUGACUUUCUUGAUGAUCAGGUUGUUUUUACUGGGUUUGCCUAUGGUGGUCUGUCCGAAUUAUCUGAAGAUGAAUAUACUUCAUGCACAAUGGGCUCGACAAUAGCAGGAGAAAUUGGUAUUUUUGGCUACAGACCUUCUGUCUUGAUGGACAUGCUUGCUGGCAAGAGAGCUGAAGUUGGUACAAAAGUUGGGGCGUACAUCAGAUCAUUUUCUGGCGAUUGUUCACCUUCAGAUCUUGAGACUGGUUUACAGCUUGUCUACCAACUAUUUACAACAAAGGUGGAGCCAAGGGAGGAAGAAGUAAAAAUAGUCAUGCAAAUGGCGGAGGAAGCUAUCUAUGCUCAGGAAAGAGAUCCUUACACUGCAUUUGCAAAUCGUUCACGGGAAAUAAAUUAUGGGAACUCCUACUUCUUUAAGCCAAUUAGAAUAAGUGAUUUGAAGAAAGUGAAUCCAAUCAGAGCAUGUGAAUAUUUCAACAGUUGCUUCAAGGAUCCAUCAGCUUUUACCGUUGUAGUAGUUGGAAACAUAGACCCAGCCAUCUCAAUCCCACUGAUUUUGGAGUACCUGGGUGGGAUACCGAAGGUACAGGAUACAGUUCAGCCACUUAGUCGUGAGGAUCUAAAGGGAUUGCCCUUCAAGUUUCCGGAAACCAUAAUUAGAGAAGUUGUCCGCAGCCCUAUGGUUGAAGCUCAGUGCUUCGUCCAACUAGGGUUUCCAGUGGUUCUAAAGAGCACAAUGAUGACGGAGGAUAUUCACUAUGUCGGAUUUCUAAGUAAACUUCUCGAAACAAAAAUCAUGCAAGUACUCCGCUUCAAAUAUGGACAGGUCUACUCAGUUAAUGUAGGUGUCUUCUUAGGUGGCAACAAACCUUCUAGAAGUGGAGAUGUUCGUGGAGACAUAAGUGUGAAUUUCUCAUGCGAUCCAGACAUGUCAUCUAGGCUUGUUGAUUUUGUUCUGGAAGAGAUAUCAUAUCUACAGACAGAAGGCCCUUCUGAAGAAGAUGUAUGGACCAUCCUAGAAAUUGAACAAAGAGCACAUGAAAACGGAUUGCAGGAAAAUUAUUACUGGUUGGAUCGAAUUCUGCGGAGCUAUCAAUCAAGGAUUUAUUCAGGAAAUGUUGGAUCCACCUUCAUGGUUCAAGAUGAGGGACGUGUAAAAGUUAGAGAAGCUUUGACACCACAGGCCAUGCAAAUGGCCUUGCGAAGGGUGAUAUCUUUCCCAUGUAAAAAGCAAUUCACGGUAGUAAUUCUUAUGCCUAAGUCAUCUCGUUGGAAUUCGUUGAUAUCGGUGGUUAGUUGGAGUUCUGGUGGAUUUAGCAGAGAUGCCAAGAUCUUGGCUGGCAUGGCUGGUGCACUGGUCUUAGCAGCCAGUUUGUGGAGAUACUCACGGGGUGCAUUGAGAUCGUAG